This 434-nucleotide ribosomal RNA is filed under the name uncultured ammonia-oxidizing beta proteobacterium. RNAcentral describes it as "bacterial SSU rRNA". It matches the Rfam family "Bacterial small subunit ribosomal RNA", at positions 168 to 597 of the family's 1533-position model. The record is from RNAcentral. Lineage: Bacteria; Pseudomonadati; Pseudomonadota; Betaproteobacteria.
ACCGCACGAGCUCUAUGGAGAAAAGCAGGGGAUCGUAAGACCUUGCGCUUUUGGAGCGGCCGAUGUCUGAUUAGCUAGUUGGUGGGGUAAUGGCCUACCAAAGCUUCGAUCAGUAGCUGGUCUGAGAGGACGGCCAGCCACACUGGGACUGAGACACGGCCCAGACUCCUACGGGAGGCAGCAGUGGGGAAUUUUGGACAAUGGGCGCAAGCCUGAUCCAGCCAUGCCGCGUGAGUGAAGAAGGCCUUCGGGUUGUAAAGCUCUUUCAGCCGGGAAGAAAAGGCUGCGACUAAUAAUCGCAGUUCAUGACGGUACCGGAAGAAGAAGCACCGGCUAACUACGUGCCAGCAGCCGCGGUAAUACGUAGGGUGCGAGCGUUAAUCGGAAUUACUGGGCGUAAAGGGUGCGCAGGCGGUUUUGUAAGUCAGAUGUGA